UUUCCGUAGGUGAACCUGCGGAAGGAUCAUUAUUGAAUUUCGUAAAGGGGUGCCUGGGUGGUGCUGGCUUUUUGCAUGUGCACGCCUCAGACAUCCUGAUACACCCACACCUGUGCACCUAUUGACGGAAGCUCUGUAGCGGAGCGGAUGUCCUCUCACACACACUCAACGAUGUAUCAUGUAUAUAUUUUCAUACUUGCAGUGACAACUUUCAACAACGGAUCUCUUGGCUCUC
This 235-nucleotide unclassified non-coding RNA is filed under the name plant metagenome. RNAcentral describes it as "partial contains small subunit ribosomal RNA, internal transcribed spacer 1, and 5.8S ribosomal RNA". The record is from RNAcentral.